RNAcentral lists this unclassified non-coding RNA (210 nucleotides) under uncultured fungus. RNAcentral describes it as "sequence contains ITS1". The record is from RNAcentral. Lineage: Eukaryota; Fungi.
GUAUAGAUUAUAUAGGCACAAACAUUCUAUUAACAUACAUUGGGGUAAAUGAAGCAACAUAGACCAUGAAAAAAAAAAUUCCAAGGUCUACAAAAAGUGCACAGGUGGAGAUAUAAAGAUGACAAGGUGUGCACAUGCUCCCUAGAGAGCCAGCAACAACCCAUCAGGUUUAUUUCAAUAAUGAUCCUUCCGCAGGUUCACCUACGGAAA